Molecule: ribosomal RNA, 324 nt
Filed under: uncultured eukaryote
Lineage: Eukaryota
Description: partial 18S ribosomal RNA
Rfam family: Eukaryotic small subunit ribosomal RNA
Source: RNAcentral
CCCUUAGAUGUUCUGGGCCGCACGCGCGCUACACUGAUUCAUGCAACGAGUUUUGUCCUUGGCUGAAAGGCCUGGGUAAUCUUUGAACGUGAAUCGUGCUGGGGAUAGAUGAUUGCAAUUAUUCAUCUUCAACGAGGAAUUCCUAGUAAACGCAAGUCAUCAGCUUGCAUUGAUUACGUCCCUGCCCUUUGUACACACCGCCCGUCGCACCUACCGAUUGAAUGGUCCGGUGAAUAAUUCGGACUGCAGCAGUGUUCAGUUCCUGAACGUUGCAGCGGAAAGUUUAGUGAACCUUAUCACUUAGAGGAAGGAGAAGUCGUAACA